RNAcentral lists this long non-coding RNA (4178 nucleotides) under Podarcis lilfordi (Lilford's wall lizard). The record is from RNAcentral. Lineage: Eukaryota; Metazoa; Chordata; Lepidosauria; Squamata; Lacertidae.
AGACAUGCCUUUGCCGAGGGAGAAGGUUGGAUAUUUCCUUCUUCACUUCUUCCUACUUCUUCCUACUUCCUCCUUUUCCAUCUUUGUUGGGUGUAAUUUGCAUAGAGGCAGCUAGCCUUGUUCCAAGGGGGAAAUGCUUGUGUUGUUUAUUUAAAACUGUACAGGUUGCAGUUUUGCUCAAUGGUCCAUGGUGACUAACAGAUAAAAUUACAACUAAAAUGCAACAGUAGAAACAAACUAGCAUUACCAAAGCAAAUCAAAGGCCAGUAAAAGAGAUGCCCAAGCAACAAUAAUCACCUAAGCUCAAACGCCUGGCAAAGCAGCAGCUUCCUAACAGCCAAACGAGGCACAAGGACGAGGUAAACUUUCAUGGGGAGAGAAUUCCAUAACGUGGCCACUUUGGAAAAGGCCUUGUCUUGAAUCACAACCAGCUGCACCUCUAAUGGUGGUAGCAUCAAAAGCAAGGUCUCCUUAGAAGACCUCAACAGAUGGACAGGUUCAUGCAAGAGAAAGCAGUCCUUUAGGUCCUCUUGGACCACACCAUAUAGAACAGCUUUUUCCUGUCUAGAGCUGAAUUCUCUCAGGGUUUAUUUGUCAAGGACAGCAUGCCAGAAGUGUUUGGAAGCAGAGCUGGUGAUGGUUGGAGCCAGACCUAGUAGUUUUCUGGAUUAACUCAUCUAGAACAAAUACCACCUUGCUUUUCACCCUGGCUACCUCAGCUUAGAAUUCCAGUGCAGGUCUACUCAAAAGUAAUCCCUGCUGUGUUUGAUAGGGUUACUCUCAAAUAAGUAUACAGGACAUUUUAUUUUUUAGUCCAACAGAUCAAUAAGCUUCAGUUGUGGAAAGCAAGUGAAAGUAAUUCUUUCUGACUUAAGUAUUCUCUAUGCACAGACCCCGAGCAAUUUCUUUUUAUCAGAUAAAAUACUAUACAUCCCAACUGUUCUGGAACUACAUACAUAUAGGAGGGAAAUGAUUUAAAAGGCCACUGGAAGCCAGUGCUGGUUAAGCAACAGUGGGAUAGCAUGAUGUAAAAAAUGAGCAGGUGGCACUGUGGUCUAGACCACUGAGACUCGGGCUUGCUGUUUGGAAGGUUGGCAGUUCGAAACCACACAAUGGUGGUGAGCUCCUGUUGCUGUGUCCCAGCUUCUGCCAACCUAGCAGUUCGAAAGCAUACCAGUGCAAAUAGAUAAAUAGGUACUGGUACGGCAGGAAGGUAAAUGGCAUUUCCGUGCGCUCUGGCUUCCAUCACAGUGUUCCAUUGCACCAGAAAUGGAAAGCUGUCUGUGGAUAAAUGGCAGCUUCCUCAGCCUGAAGAGAGAUGAGUGCUGUACCCCAUAGUCCCUUUUGACUGGACGUAACAUUCCAGGGGUCCUUUACCUUUACCUUUUUACCUGAUACCCAUCCUGGGCAGGCUGAAGUGCUUUCCAUGAGGCAGAGUGCUGAAUAUGAAAAGAGAACUCUUGUGGGGAAGUCAGUUUGCCUAAAGGCUAUAUCUGGAGAAACCUCCACCGCAGCAGAGAGCUCAGCUGAAUUUUCAGAGCAAAAUCUGAACCUGAAGGAUCUGGUUUGUCUUGACUGGUCAGUUUCAUCUUGUAUUCUUAGGUGGUGUAUACAUGGCACUAUUCAGAAAGAGUGUGUCUGUAGUUGUAUGGCCCUUCCGAGACUUGUAACACUCCAGAACCCUGGUGGGAGAAACCACAAACGCCAUCUGCAUGCACAGAAGGCUAGACAUCUACUUGAUGUGCUGGGUUUCUACAAGCAGAAGGUUUUUGUCAUGAGAAAGUCAUACCUCCUUUCUGAAGUGGUGCAGCCCCAGAAGGAUUGUAUCACACGCCUCUUCCAAAUGCAAGGACUAUUUCUUUGGAAAUGCAGGGCAUUAUCCAACUAACCAGAUAUGCUAGCACAAGAAUCCUUAGCUGUGCAGUGGAACUUCUCCACCAUUUCAUCUACUCACACAUGCACUGCCUGCCAGGUAAAACUGCUCUGGAGGGUUGGAGGGAAAACCCCAGAACAGAUUUAGGGGUUCCAUAGUUGUAUUUGCAGAGUGAACAGAAGGCAGGGAAGUUGCAUUGUGCAGUUAAAAGUCCUUACGCUAGCAUAACUAUGGGACACCACUCAAAUGAUGCAACCAUAUUUAGAGAGCACUCAAAACUGUCAUAGUUGAAUUUGGUUGAAGAAAUAAUAGUGGUUUGUUGAGUGUCAUCUUUUCUAAAACACAGAUCCUGAUGGAAGAAGUAUGGAAAGGUUUAAGCAAAGAUAUAUUCAUUUAGACUUCUCCUUUAGCAGUCUUUGUUGGAAGGCAAUGAAUAACUUAUAAAUAUUUAAAUAUAAAAAUAUGACACAGCUAUGUUAAUUUAACUCAUAAAUAUUCUAUGGACUCCCUAAGAUUGCAUAUUGUUUUGCUUUGCAGCUUCCUUAUUUGUACAAUCUAUUUUUAGGAUUCAAUUAUCAUAUCAGGAACAGCAUCAUUUUCAGUGAGCACACACAUACACACACAAUUUCACCUAUGAUCAGAAUUUAGCCAGGUGAGAUUAUUUAACAUUCCCCCCCACCACACACAUUUCAGUUGUACUAAUUGAUAGAUUGCUAAAAAUAAAAACAUUGUGGUGCUUCAUGUGGAGCUGCCAGCUCAUGGGAGCAGAUAUGUUAGCCUGAACCCAUUACCUUAAUUGUUAUCAAACCAUUUAAGUACAAUGGUACCUCUGGUUACAAACUUAAUUCGUUCCGGAAGUCUAUUCUUAACCUGAAACCGUUCUUAACCUGAGGUACCAUUUUAGCUAAUGGGGCCUCUUGCUGCUGCCACGCUGCCACCUUGCGAUUUCUGUUCUCAUCCUGGGGCAAAGUGCUUAACCCAAGGUACUACUUCCGGGUUAGUGGAGUCUGUAACCUGAAGUGUUUGUAACCCGAGGUGUUUGUAACCCAAGGUACCACUGUACUGUAUUUAGUUUUGAAUUAUCUGACAUUGUUUUUUAAAUGUUUUGCUAAAACUCAUUGUAAGAAAAUAAUUUCAUGAACAGUAAAAAAAAAGCAGUGCUUAGAACCAGGUACAAAGACAAUUACGUGAACCGGGAAGUGGAAACGAACUUGAGCCCAAAACUGGCUUAGAGGGUUUAUGACAUCCCCCUACCCUAGGAAUUGUAACUGAACCAUGAUUUAAAUUCCCUGGCUUAUCUUGAAAAGAAUACACACACACACACACACACACACACCAGUCAUGAUGGAUGCGUACUACCUCCAGUAUUUGUGGCAGUAUGCCUCAUCUUACCACCUGCUGGAGAGGGUGGUGUUAUAAGCUUCCUAUAGGCAUCCGGUGGACCUUUGGUCUGAUACAGCAUAGCCCUGCUUUGUUCAAAAGCAAAAGUUCAGGAGUUUCUUUUGUGAGUGAUAAGGUAAGGGCCUCACUUCCUCUUCCGAGUAACCAUAGAGAGGAAGGCAAAAGAUAGUAUUUUUGUAAGGUAACUGCUGCAGGAGAUGAGAGGAGUAGCAGGAAUUAUCCUGGGAUUGAGGGAUCAUUAUUUUGUUUGCUGCAGGUAUUUUGUACCACAAAUAUGAAGUUCAUAUGAAUACACAGAUAAAGCUAAGCUAAAAGUUUGAAAUUUCUAGAGGCUGUGCUAUAUCAACAUGAGAACAUGAGGAAGAAUUCUCUGCAUCUAUGCUAUGAUAAACUAAAAAGCCUAAAACACUUUACACCUCUCUCGUGUGAAGAUGCACUACCUGUCUUUGAUCAUUUUGUGCUGCAACGCUGUGCAGAUUUAGUUAACGAAGUUGAAAUUGCUUCUGAAUAGACAUGCUUAUGAUCCAGAUGCAAGCUGGCCUAGAGGAUAUCCUUUCUGAGAUGAAGAAACCACAGUAUCAGUAUUAUACAUGUGGCUAAAGCACACACACUGAUACAAUUCCAUUUACACUUGCCAGAAAUCAGAAAUACCUGAAAUGAAACUAAAAUGAUGUUUUCUUUUCCUGCCAUGCUAGCUGAUUUAGAAAUAAUAUUGUAGGACUGAAAUUCAUUCCGCCUGCACAGCUGUCAAUGAAUUCUUUUUAUAUAUAAUUACAAUGAUACAUACAAAGGAAGUAGCCAGGUAAUUCUAUGCAUGUCUACUCAGAAGUAACUCCAACUGAGUUCAGUAAGGCUUGCUUCAAGGUAAGUAUCUUAGGUUUGCAACCUAAAUCAUAUUAAUUCC